RNAcentral lists this long non-coding RNA (3184 nucleotides) under Equus asinus (donkey). Its description in RNAcentral is "lncRNA (ENSEASG00005037571.1)". The record is from RNAcentral. Lineage: Eukaryota; Metazoa; Chordata; Mammalia; Perissodactyla; Equidae.
AGGAGAGUCAUCAGUUCCCCCCGGGGGAGGAAGGGAAACACUGUGGUUGACAGCCCUACACAGAGAUCUCGGGGAGGAUGACGAGAGCUUUCUCAAUGGAAAGAGGGAGAAUGAACACUGGGCAAACAAAAACAGAUGGCCACCACAAACCAUCAAGAGCUUUGAAAGAGACGGUGCUAUCUCGGAGCUGCCUCUCUGGUCCUCUGGUCCUGCAGUUGUUGAAUUGUGAUCCCCAGAGAGAGAUGUUGAAGUCCUAACCCUGGUAUUUGUGAGGGUGAUCUUAUUUGGAAACACUGUGGAGUCUUUGUAGAUGCAAUCAAUUGAACAUGAAUUUAUUAAGGCGGGACCUAAUCCAUUAUGACUGGUGUUCUGAUAAGAGAUGUAAAGACAGAGACACACAGGAAGAAUGCCAUGUGAUGACGAAAACAAAGAUUGGAAUGAUACAGCUACAAGCCAAGGAACGCCAAGGACCCAUGGCCACCACUGGAAGCCAGGAAGAGGCAAGGAAGGAUUCUACCCAGAGUCUCAAGGGGAGCGUGGGCCUGCUGAUUUUGGACUCCAAACCCCCAGAACCAUAGAAGAAUAAAUUUCCAUUGUUUUAAGCUGCUCAGUUUGUGGUACUUUGUGAUGGCAGUCCUCGGAAAUGAAUACACGUCCACCUCCUGUUUCUUCUCCUUUCCUCCACCAGCCUCAGACUGUAACUCUCACCAAUACUACAAGACAGCACUUCCCAAAUUUUAAUACACAUACAAAUCAUUUGAGGAUCUCGAUAAACUGUUGAUUCGGAUUCAGUAGUUCUGGAUGAGGCCUGAGAGUCUGCAUUUCUUAGAAGUUCCCGAGUGAUGUCCACGCUGCUGGCCCAAAAACCACACUUGGAGAAGCAAGGCUAUAUAUAAGAGAGUCAGCAAGGAAAUGUUGCUGUCAGGGACUCUCCCCAGUCACGCAGAAAUCCAGUAUAUUAAUGAAGUGAAGGAAGAGUGGCAAGCCCAGCUCUGCAGUUGAGACACAGCCCUGGCACACCUUCUGCUGACAUGUGCCACUCCUGGAAUGCUGGGUCACUCCACCCUCAAACUAACUUCUGGCUGAACUGGGGGUAUCCUGGCUACAGCUGAGGAGAGGCUUCAGUCCGAGUUUUCACACUUGAACUUUUAGUUCAGGAGCAAAAGCCAAAAAAUGCAACCUACCCCAAGCAACAGCCAGGAUGUUGAUGCUGCCAGGCAAUUCCUGGCUCACUGGACCACCACCUCCUACUUUCUGGACCAGGAGGAUACACCAGAGACCAACCUCCCGUGAUUCAGGAGGCCUUGCUGACAAAUCACUGAUCCAGCCAGACUUCUUCCUUUGCUUGAGUUACUACCUGGUAAUGAGUUGUGCACUUUGCAAAGUGUAUUGAUACUUUUACACAAGCAAGAUUGGAAAAAAUACAUGCAACGUUUAUUUUAAAAUGUUGGCCUUGGGAACUAGAAAUGUUUUAGGGGACAUGAGAUUUUAUUUUUAGUACCAUAUCUGUUCUAACAAGCUUAAAACUUCAUACAAUAAGUCGCUCGCUACUGACAUGUGAGUCAUCAUAUUAUCAUCAGAUUUCUAGUGUAGUGGCAUUCUUUUUCUACAAAGAAGUAUUAAAUGCAUAGGACUUAAAAUACUGUAAUAAGGCCCCAGCUGUAUGGGAGAAUAAUUUUUAAUCUAUACGGAAAAGCUGACUAUGACUUGACGUGAAUCAACAGAUUUGUGGUACCCAUUAAUACAAUGUGAUAUAGUAAAGAUGAGAAAAAUCUAAGAAUAUUGAAAGAAUAUGUAGUGAAGGAUCCUGCAGUUAUAAUAAUGAAGCUUGUCUCAAAGCCUUGCUUCUGGAUCUGGCGACAAAAUACUUAAUUAGCAUUUUAUUGCCAUGUAAUCUAUCCAUCUCACUUUAUAUUUAAUUGGGAAAUUUACUUUUAAAACUAAAUUCUUGGGCCGGCCCAAUGGUGCAAUGGUUAAGUUCACACAUUCUGCUUCGGCGGCCCACGGUUCACCGGUUCAGAUCCCAGGUGCAGACAUGGCACCGAUUAACAAGCCAUGCUGUGGUAGGCGUCCCACAUAUAAAGUAGAGGAAGAUGGGCACGGAUGUUAGCUCAGGGCCAGUCUUCCUCAGCAAAAAGAGGAGGGUUGGCAGCAGAUGUUAGCUCAGGGCUGAUCUUCCUCAAAAAAAAAAAAACUAAAUUCUUGUCUUCACUUUCUUUUAGCCUUAUUUUAAAAAUCAAAAGUCACAGAAAAGUUACCUGGUUAAAGUUUACCUAAUAAAUGCUCACUAGAGACAAAUUUGAACAAUCUCCUGACUCCAAACCAAGUAGGCAUUUUAUUUGACCAAUCUGCCUCCAAGGCUGUCAUUUCCAGACAAUUAUGUUUUAUUGCUGUGACAAAUAAAAAUGGCAAGCAAUAGGAUAUAUUGGAGAAUAUGCGGAAGCCAUGUGGUAUAAACCUAAUUCGGCCUGACCUUGUCUUUCCAAAAGGGCCUGACCAAGGCCAUUGGGCAUGCAUUGUAUAUCUGCUUUAGAUAUUCCCUAUGUCAAGAGCAAAGGCCCUUGAGAUAAAGGUGCAACCUCCCUCCCCCUCCCAACGUUGGCGGCUCCUUAAGGAUUAAGCAUCUUUCCUUAGGCUAGAAACUGAUUGCUGCGCUCACCUGUGACCACCCAGCUCGAGACAAUAGACUUGCCUCCUGCUACGCCCACCAAGAUAGCAGACCCACUACCUGGUGUGUCCAUUAAGCACUGUGCCAACAGGGCAAUCUUGUGACUAUUGUGGGAGGGACAUUUCAAUCAUAUGUAAAGCACCCUCUUUGGAGGUAUAUAACCACUCUGUACACCUCAUUUCUUUGGUGCCCUUUCUUCCUUCAGGAAGAAAGGCCCCGGGCCAUGGUCCUCAGAUUUCAGCUCAGAAUAAACUCACCCAAAUUUUCAUUUAUAGAUUGGUUAUGGAUUAUUUUCGUUGACAGCUGCUAUUUUUAAUGCCAUUUCAGAACUUUAAUUUUAUUCUUUCCUCCUCACUUCACUACUCUCACUGAGCCAUCUAUACUGUACCAGAAUUGCACAACAGAGGGUGGAAAAACACACAGAACCUUGGAAAGUGUGAAUAGGUUAAUGGCUAAGUAUCAGCAGAAAUGCUCAUAGGUUUUGGGACUAGUGGAUCAUGAAAGAACAAGAAUCUG